GGCACGCCGACCCCGAGGCUGGGGGGCUGCCAAAGAGAGGAGAAGAGAAAGAAAAAACUACAGCAGAGAAUCAGACAAGGAGUGAAGAGAGAGAGAAAGAGAUUGGAGAGGGAGAGAGAGAGAGAGAGAAAGAGACAAAGGAAGUGAGUGCGAGAGAGGAGACGGCUUGGCAUCCGAACUGUCCUGGUUCCUUCUCCCAGCCCCCACCU
Molecule: non-coding RNA, 209 nt
Organism: Kogia breviceps (pygmy sperm whale)
Lineage: Eukaryota; Metazoa; Chordata; Mammalia; Artiodactyla; Physeteridae
Source: RefSeq, a predicted model, not a curated record